GCAGCCAGGCCAGUGGGUGUUGGAUAGUGACCGUGAUGUCUCCAUAACAUCAGAGGAGACCCUUCUCAGAGAGGGAGAGAAUGGCCCACAUUCUGUUUUAUUAAAAAGUGAGGCAGAUCACCCCACUUCUCACCCAGUCUGCCCUCUGCCAGCACUCCCAUCAUCGGGUUAUAAAAGUGUUAGCAUCACUCCAAUGGGUGAUCCCUCCAUAAAGGUGAAAUGAAAUCAUAUCAACCAACAUCAAUGUCCAGUCAAUCAGACAUUCAAUGGACGAAAGCAGGCCUCUACAUCGCCGACCAUCAAGAGCAGCCAGGCCUGUGGGUUUCGUAUCACAAACAUAAGGUCACCCUACCAUCCUGUUUUGCAUUAAAAAGUCUGGAAGAACACAUUCUAGUGUGGAAGAACACAUUCUAGUCUGGAAGAACACAUUCUAGUGUGGAAGAACACAUUCUAGUGUGGAAUACCACCCCCUAACCACCCCGCCUGCUGUCCCCAAUCUAAGAUGGCAGCAUCACUCCAGCCGACUGGCAACCAAUGGGUGACCCCUCCAUGGUCGAAUAAAGUCAUAUUACACCAACAUGAGAAACCAUUCACUGUAUAUUUGGCAUAUCAUCAAGCAACAACUUUAUAAGGACGCAUUUAAAUGCAACAUACUGUAGAAAGAUUUACAACGUCGGUCUCACUUAGAGCCUCAGGUUUUUAAAACUCUCAGAUAAACAAACUCUCAGAUAAACAACAGUGCCAAUUGGCAUAGAGCCUUGUGGGGCAGC
Molecule: long non-coding RNA, 770 nt
Organism: Alosa alosa (allis shad)
Lineage: Eukaryota; Metazoa; Chordata; Actinopteri; Clupeiformes; Clupeidae
Exons: 3
Source: RefSeq, a predicted model, not a curated record